CACCAGAGCCACAAGUGGUAACCAUGUUUAUUGGGUCUAAAGCAUCUGUAGCCGGUCCGAUAAGUUUUUCGUGAAAUCGUUUAGCUCAACUGAACGGCGUGCGAGAAAUACUGUCGGACUUGGAACCGGGAGGAGGUAGGAGUAUUUCAAGGGGAGCGGUAAAAUGCUAUAAUCCUUGGAGGACUACCUGUGGCGAAGGCGCCUACCUAGAACGGCUUCGACGGUGAGAGAUGAAAGCUAGGGGAGCGAUCUGGAUUAGAUACCCCUGUA
This 270-nucleotide ribosomal RNA is filed under the name uncultured prokaryote. Its description in RNAcentral is "partial 16S ribosomal RNA". It matches the Rfam family "Archaeal small subunit ribosomal RNA", at positions 474 to 743 of the family's 1478-position model. The record is from RNAcentral.